This 69-nucleotide transfer RNA is filed under the name Amphinemura yao. RNAcentral describes it as "tRNA-Met". It matches the Rfam family "tRNA". Rfam says of the family: Transfer RNA (tRNA) molecules are approximately 80 nucleotides in length. Lineage: Eukaryota; Metazoa; Arthropoda; Insecta; Plecoptera; Nemouridae. RNAcentral also lists the same sequence under 1 other name. The record is from RNAcentral.
AGAAAGAUAAGCUAAUUAAGCUACUGGGUUCAUACCCCAUUUAUAGAGGUUUUAGCCCUCUUCUCUCUA